This is a non-coding RNA of Punica granatum (pomegranate), 1412 nucleotides long. The record is from RefSeq and is a predicted model, not a curated record. NCBI's taxonomy places the organism in Eukaryota, Viridiplantae, Streptophyta, Magnoliopsida, Myrtales, Lythraceae.
GGGGGGCUUUAAUAAUGAAUGCAUUUGAGAUGGUUACUUUACCUCAAGGUUUGAACCUAUCCGCACUUUUUGACAGGCGACAGGUGAGAAUUUAAUAUUCAUUACAUUUUGGCCUGAAAUCACUGAUGAAUUUCAUUUUGUGAGAAUCCAAGAACGUUACCGCUGUGUAAUUGAUACCAUGAUCCUCAAAUUUGGUGUUGCUUUUAAUUGACAUACUAUUUUCUUUUUAACUGCAUAUCUGGGUCAUCAAUUAUGCAUAUCUGGGUCAUCAAAGUAGUCAUGGAGAGAUUAGCCCACUAUAUGCAAUGCUGGAUUAGAUUUUAAGUAAGCCAAUCUAGAGAGAUUUCGCUGAAUGUGACUUCCAUUUGCUCAAAUAUGGCAUUAAACAUUUCGUUUAGCGAGAAUCAGAAUUCUGAGAGCAUACUUUUGGCUGUUAGCAUUGCAAAGCAUCGUGAAUCCUCCAUUUCCUCUCUCUUAUGGUGUUUUUUGAAUCUUGCAGGAUUUUAUCAGCAGGCAAACUCAUUUUGUUUCCCGGAAACCGGCAAAAGUCGUAAUUUCAUCCAUAGACUGUCACAGAAUCGAUGUGUCUAAAGGUCCACACACGUAAUUUUACAAGACAAGACUUUGAAGGAGUAUUGGCGAACUAGGCUGGUCCAUUUGCUGUUGUCUUGGAGGUCUAUGAAGUUGCAUCCUGUCUCUUCAUGGUUGAUGUUCGAAAGACUGGUGGAGAUACUCUCAAGUAUCACAAGGUGUGCUUGAUAUUCCACAAUAUCGGCAGUAACAAGUUAGCCAUCGACAAUGGCCAUGAUCUGAAAUUCUAUGUGCUUGCAUGGACAUUGGUAGAAAGGAUCGGCUGACAGACUGCUCAAAUUGCAUCUAUUAUAUUGGAAAAGAUAAUGAGUUGUGGAUAGGCUCUAUGGCUUCACAGCGACUGAAUUUAAUAGAUGCAACUCGUAGAAGGAAAUUCCAAGUUCGUUGUCGUGGAUCCAUUCUCAGCAGUUGCUACAAUGCAUUGUUCAAACAUUUCAACUCCAACAAGAGAGAUUAGAAAUUCGUGUUUCAUGCAGUUCUGCAAGAGUUUUUGCCGAAGACUGGAGCAUAUCAUCUGGAAACCAGCAGAGGAGAAUCCCGCUCUGCUUCGAAGGACGACUUGUUGAUUGCAGAUCCUGCCUGCACAAUGCACGUCUUCUGCAUUGGGUCUAGGGAGAGCAGUAUAUUCUUGAGAAUGGGAGAGGGUUUUUUUUCUGUUAUGCUUGUCUUCCCCUCUCCCCCCCGUUGAUAGAUGAAUAUAUAAUAUAAUUGGGGAGUAGUAGUAGAUACGAUUUAUCUUUCGGCUUCCAAAUGUCCAAAUGCUAAGAAUUGGUGGUGUGAUCAUUUUCAUUUAGAUAUCCGACGGAUUGCAUUGGCUUAAA